UACGGAGGGUGCAAGCGUUAAUCGGAAUUACUGGGCGUAAAGCGUGCGUAGGCGGCCUGUUAAGUCAGAUGUGAAAGCCACGGGCUCAACCUGGGAACGGCAUUUGAAACUGGCAGGCUAGAGCUAGGUAGAGGGGAGUGGAAUCUCAGGUGUAGCGGUGAAAUGCGUAGAUUUCUGAAGGAACGCCAGUGGCGAAGGCGGCUCCCUGGACCCAAACUGACGCUGAGGUACGAAAGCGUGGGUAGCAAACAGG
This 253-nucleotide ribosomal RNA is filed under the name uncultured bacterium. RNAcentral describes it as "partial 16S ribosomal RNA". It matches the Rfam family "Bacterial small subunit ribosomal RNA", at positions 524 to 776 of the family's 1533-position model. The record is from RNAcentral.